Molecule: RNA transcript, 2818 nt
Organism: Acyrthosiphon pisum (pea aphid)
Lineage: Eukaryota; Metazoa; Arthropoda; Insecta; Hemiptera; Aphididae
Exons: 12
Source: RefSeq, a predicted model, not a curated record
AGUUUCCCUAUAAUUCGAGUUCUUAGCUUCUUAAAUUAUUUUCUUAUUUUUUUUUAUAGGUAGUAGAAGAAAGUUUCUAACUUAAUAAUAUAAUAUUCAAUAUUAAUUUGUAUUUCAUUCUAUUCCAAUUUUCGCUUAUUGUUAACUGGCUUUUGCAGUAAUUAACUAUAUUACUCUGUUGUAUUAUUAUUCUUCCAUUUGUUUCAUAAAAUAUAACACAUCUAGCUCAUAGGAAUUCAGUUGAUAAUUCAUCAUUAAAAUGUUGAGAUACAGAGGAAAGAAAUUUGCACUUAAUAUUGUAAAAGAAUUGGAUUCAUUUCCUAAGGUUCAAGAAGAAAUUUAUGAACUAUCUUCUUAUAGUAAUGUUAUACUGACAAUUUUGAUUUCUGUGUUUGGAUUGUGGUUAUUGAUUUCUGAAAUACAGUAUGUGUUACAAGAACAUUAUUUAAUAUACAGAUUUGUAUCAGACACGGACUAUGAAUCUAAACUUCCAAUUUACUUAGAUAUUAUUAUUGCAUCGACUUGUGAUAUAUAGGUCCUGAUGUUGUUGAUACAAUAGGACAAAAUAUGAUGUGUUUUGGAGAAUUAAAAACUGAUGAGACUUGAUGGCAUAGAGUAAAGAGGAAAUGACAAAAGAACAGCAACAACAUUUCAAAAAAAUGCGUGAAUUCAAUGUAUAUUUAAGAGAAGAAUAUCAUUAAAUGAAAGACAUAUAUGGAUAUAUCAUGGAUGUUUGAUGAUUAAAAUAUACCAAAAAAUAAAAUAUCUGUUAGAUGAUGGUUUGAAGAUAAAAAGAACCAACUGGUACCUACAUAUAAAAACCAAAGAAUUCGAUGAUCAUAUUAAACAGCUGUCCGUGCUAUUGGAGAUUGUGAGAUGGAUGUAGGAUAUGAGUUAAGUAUGGAAAGUGGAAGCCCGGAGCAUAGACUAUUGAUCGAUUCUCAGCUUUCCAAAAAACUGUAUUCAUUAUAUUGGCAUGCUGAAAUUAUUUCUGAAGCUUCCUCCUUUAUACGCCAUAGAGAAUGUCAAGUGUAUUUACAAUAUAAAUCUUAUUAAAAAAAUUUAACGACCAUUUAAAUUAUCUUGAUAGUUCUAGAGGACAGUGUGCCAUAGACUUAAUAACUAUAUUGAUAGUUUUUAUAGAUUUGUGGAAUGUAAUUUAUCGCAUUCCUUACCCAAUCCUAGAAGACUGAUCGUUGAAUUUGUCAAAGACGUGCAUUCACCAGAUGACUUCAAAACGAUGGCAAUGGCUUACUGGAUGAUUUUUGUAGGCCAUGAUCUAUCUCACACGGCAAUUUCUAGAAUGAUGAAUAGUAAUAAAACUGUGAGCUUUUGUUCAAAUUGCCGGAAGGAGAUCAUGCCUUGACUCAUGAACGAGUUGAGUAUGCAAGCAGUAGUGAUACCAGGCGAAGAUCUGUUUUCAGAAACAAUAUUCGUUGUAUGAACUACGUGCUUCCGGUGCCAGCUUUACGUUCUGAUUUUACUUUUGGACCCAAGGAACAAAUGAACCAAGCUACUCAUUAUUUAGAUGGGUCGAUGAUAUACGGUUCGUCGGUGAAAUGAACGUGGUCGUUGAGGACCACCAACUUGGACGUCCAACUGUUGACAAGCAUGGGCUGCGAUAACAAGAGCCAAGGCGACCUGUUGCAGCCGCAGUACAUGCUGCUGGAAGACACCGAAUCAAAUACCUAUCAGAAUGGCAGUGGCACUUGUUAUGGGCCAGGUGACAUCCGGGCAAACGCGCUUCCCCAACUGACGGUCAUGCACACAUUGUGGAUGAGGGAACAAAACCGGUUGGCCAAACUACUGUCACACGUCAACCCGCACUGGGACGACAAAUGUAUUUUCAGGAGGCCAGAAAAAUUGUUACGGCGUCCAUACAGCACAUCACUUAUGCUGAGUGGUUGCCAGCACUGCUCUGGGAAAACUACACCAGACGGAACAGGCUUGAACUAUCGAAUGAAGGGUACAGUAACGCGGUAACGCGUACAACAAGACCGCCGACCCAAGAUUCAGCAACAGCGUUGCGACCGCAAUAUUACCGUUCCCUAAUUCCAUGAUAAGCGACACCAUCAGGGUUGUGCACACCUGCUUAUAUAAAUGGAAGGCCGAGUGAUCAACACAAGUCAUUUGCUGAAGGAACAUUACAACCAACCAACUGGUCAACUAUUAAAUUAUAUGGAUCAGCUUGUCAGAGGGCUAUCUAUGCAGAAUACACAAAAAAUUGAUAUGAUAUUUAAAACGCUUACAAUUACUUAUACAGUGUUCAUCCAAACAACGUGUUUGGAAUGUACAUUCUCAGCUUGAAUAUAUAAUGAAGCCGCGAUCAUGGUAUACCAAGCUACACAGAAUUUAGAAAAUAUUGUCAACUAAAAUCUAUAAGAAGUGUACAAGAAUUAUCCCAGAUCAUGGUUGAAGGUAUCAACUGAUAGAAAUCAGAAAAGUGACGCUCACCAGAUUCUUUUGUGAUAACAGCAAUAAUGUCACAAUGAUGCAGAAAAGUAUUUUUGAUACCUGAAAUGGCUGACUUACAACUCUGUAAUUCCCAAUUAAUGAUAUAUUGCAUACACAAUUAUGUAAUUAUAAAAAAGUUACCUUCUAUAUCAGAGGCGUGCUCAGGAAUUUUGAAUUGUGGAGGGGAGGUUUAAAAAAAAAAAUGCAAAGUGCCUGAUCUAAAAUUAAAAAAUAUAAUAAUAAUUAUAUGUAAGUACAUACACAUAUCCCUGAUAGCAAAAUCAUAACAUAAUAACAUUAUUAUAUAAUUAUUUAUAAUUACAUUUGUAAUGACUAAUAUUUUUUUAUCAUUACAAUUUAAUUA